CUAAUUGAUCUUACAAUCCAUUAGGUGGAUGACUAGGCUUAAAACAAUGAAGAAGAGCGUGGCAAGCAGCGAUAUGCCCUGGCGAAGCGCAAGCAGCUAUUGAGCCGGGGAUUCUUCAAUAGGACUUCCUUCUCUUAGGAGAGACCAGGAAUGGUUAAUAACGCAGGGAAUUGAAGCGUCUUAGUACCUGCAGGAAGAGAAAUCAAAUGAGAUACCGUGAUUAUCAGCGAGAGAAAACGGUACAAGGCAAACUGAAUUCUCUAUAGAAAUGUAGAGAAGAUGUGGUGUUGCAAGACCUACUUUUAGUCUUCUGUGAGUGACUCAAAGUUCUCUGGAAAGGGAUGCCGUAGAAGGUGAUAGCCCUGUAGGGGAAACUCAUAAAGAUGUGUAGGUAUCUUGAGUAGGGCUUAUUGGAUAUUAAGUCCGAAUUUUGGAGACAUCAACUUCAAACCUUAAAUAUGUUUUAAGUCCGAUAGCGCACAAGUACUGUGAAGGAAAGUUGAAAAGAACCCGUAAUAGGGAGUUAAAAGUCCUGAAACCUAAUGGAGCCAGUAUGUUACGGCUCUUAGGAGUUGUAUCGUACGUUUCGAAUAACGGGCCAGGAAGUUUAUCUAAGUGGCGAGAAUAAAUUCUUAAGGAAUGUAUUCGUAGGGAAACCGAUAUUCCGCAGUUUACGAGGGAAGAUGUAUGAAAAUGCUUUUAGUCACUUGGAUUUGACCAGAAACCGGGUGAUCUAACCCUGAGCAAGGUGAAGCAGGAGUAAAAUCUUGUGGAGGCCUGAAGAGGUUCUGUGUGCAUGCGUUCUUCUGAUUUGGGGUUAGGGGUGAAAGGCCAAUCGAACCCGGUGAUAGCUGGUUCCUGCCGAAAUAGGCCGUAGUCUAAUCUGAGAUGAGAUAGUUAAGAGGGUAGAGCUACGGAUUGGGGAUUCUGGGAGGGAAACUUCUCGGUCCCCUGUCCAACUCAGAAUGUCUUAACGUCGUAGAAUCUCGGUUACGGGGGUACUGGGGUAAACUUGUACUCCAAGAGGGGAACAACCCAUGACUAUAGUUAAGGUCCCUAAAUACUAGUUAAGUGUGAACGGGUAAAAGGUGUGUAUUUCCACAGACAGCUGGGAGGUAGGCUCAGAAGCAGCCACCCUUCAAAGAAAGCGUAAUAGCUCACCAGUCAAGGGAAUAUGCCCUGAAGAUGGACGGGGCUAAAAUUAGUUACCGAUACUAUAGACCAUCCAAAAGAUGUGUGGUAGGCAGGUGCAAUUAUUGGACAGAAGUCUUUCUAUGAGGAGAGAUGGACCGUUAAUUGAUAAGAAUCCUGGCGGUAGUAAGAUCAAAACAGAGUGAGAUUCUCUGGUACCGAAAGGACGAGAUUUUCUUAGCAAUGUAAAUCAGCUAAGAGUAAGUUGAUCCUAACUGAUACCUUAACUGGGAAUCGGGAAAGGGAAAAUGGUUAAGAUUCCAUUACCACUUAAAUACACGUGGCAACACAAGGCAAUCUCUUGAAACUUAGGGUUAGAUUGACAUUUACUGUCGUGAAUGUUAAACAGAAUAAGUCUUUGGAAUAUCGUAAUGAUUAGAAAAAGAUUAAAUCUGUGAAUAGCGGGGCAACCUGUUCAGUCCAUACCUAGAGUCCGUGAAAAGGGAGAAUGCAAGGAUUUUAAGUGUUCAUAUCAAGAACCAACACUGGUGUCCUAGGUGAGAAGCCUCAGGUACGCGGGAGAAAUCUAACUAAGGGAACUCGGCAAAUUAGCCUUGUACCUUCGGUAUAAAGGGUCCCUGCGAUUGUGUUCUUAUGAAUGCGGUUACAGGGUGCAAUGACAAAGGGUGUCCGACUGUUUAACAAAAACAUAUCCUUUCGCUAGUCAGUAAUGAUUUGUAUGGAAGGUCACGCAUGCCCAGUGCCAGUAUCUCAAACUUCUUUUCAAGGGAGCUAAGGACUGGUAAACGGCGGGAAUAACUAUAAUUCUCUUAAGGUAGCGAAAUGCCUUGCCAUUUUAUUGAUGGCUUGCAUGAAUGCGUAACGAGAUACCCACUGUCCCUAGUUAGAGUCCCCUGAAUACAAAUUCCUGGUGCAAAGUCCAGGGCCUUCUAGUGGGAAGUAAAGACCCCGUGAAGCUUUACUGUAACUUGUUGCUGUGGUAUUGGUUUUAUUGUGCAGCAUAGGUAGUAGUUGCUAAGUUCUAGUCGCUAGAUUAGAAAUAGACAAUAAUGAGAUACUACCCUAUAGAACUUGUAUUGCUAACCUAGAAAUAGGAACAACAGCAGGCAGACAGUUUGGCUGGGGCGGCACCCUGCUGAAAAGAUAUCAGUAGGGCCCAAAGGUCAGCUCAUCUGGUUUAGAAAUCCAGAGUGGAGUGCAAGAGCAAAAGCUGGCUUGACUGUAUCCUACACAGUGAGGGAUGCAGAAAGGAAACUUUGGUCUAGCGAACCCUUAUGUCCUCCUUGAUGGGGGCUAAGUAUGACAGAAAAGCUACUCCGGGGAUAAUUGAGUCGUCGCGCCUUAGAGCUCAAAUCGACGGNNNNNNNNNCUUCAUCGAUGUCGGCUCUUNNNNNNNNNNNNNNNNNNNNNNNNNNNNNNNNNNNNNNNNNNNNNNNNNNNNNNNNNNNNNNNNNNNNNNNNNNNNNNNNNNNNNNNNNNNNNNUUGUGCAUAUAUAUCUAUGCGCUUACUGGAAGUUUUCCUUGAAGGUUUAGUAAAACAAGGCUAUCAAAAAUCAGAGAUUCGCAUUCUGGGUGUAGAGAAAGAACUAAGAUGUAAAUUGAAAAAUACUUCGAUUAGUGACUUUAGUAAAAGGUAUAGAAUAAACUCCGGUACAUUAUCAGCGAUGUUGAAAGGGAAGAGGGCAAUUCCGUUUAAUUUUAUUGGAAUACCCUCUUGUGAAUAUAGAUUGGCAUUAAAAAACAGCAACAUACCUAUAAAAAUUCCAAAAGACAUAACAAAAGAAUUGGCUUACCUUGUUGG
Non-coding RNA from Parcubacteria group bacterium, 2953 nucleotides. The record is from Rfam.